RNAcentral lists this ribosomal RNA (497 nucleotides) under uncultured bacterium. RNAcentral's name for it is "partial 16S ribosomal RNA". It matches the Rfam family "Bacterial small subunit ribosomal RNA", at positions 28 to 507 of the family's 1533-position model. The record is from RNAcentral.
GAUGAACGCUGGCGGCGUGCCUAAUACAUGCAAGUCGAGCGAACGGACGAGAAGCUUGCUUCUCUGAUGUUAGCGGCGGACGGGUGAGUAACACGUGGAUAACCUACCUAUAAGACUGGGAUAACUUCGGGAAACCGAAGCUAAUACCGGAUGAUAUUUUGAACCGCAUGGUUCAAAAGUGAAAGACGGUCUUGCUGUCACUUAUAGAUGGAUCCGCGCUGCAUUAGCUAGUUGGUAAGGUAACGGCUUACCAAGGCAACGAUGCAUAGCCGACCUGAGAGGGUGAUCGGCCACACUGGAACUGAGACACGGUCCAGACUCCUACGGGAGGCAGCAGUAGGGAAUCUUCCGCAAUGGGCGAAAGCCUGACGGAGCAACACCGCGUGAGUGAUGAAGGUCUUCGGAUCGUAAAACUCUGUUAUUAGGGAAGAACAUAUGUGUAAGUAACUGUGCACAUCUUGACGGUACCUAAUCAGAAAGCCACGGCUAACUACGUG